AUUGAAGUUUGGGAUCUUCUAUUAAUAAACAAAUGUACUCUAGUAAACUUUCUCUCUUGUUAAUUUCGAUCAUUUUAAAUUCAGCGCAAUUAGCGACUGGAUCAGCCAGCAAUAAAUCCAAACAAGCUAUCGGUAAUCGUCCGAGUGUAUUUUCAUUGGAUUUCGCCUUGCCUGGAAAGUAUCACACCAAAGAAGCUCACUUCAUUUAUUGCGCCCAAUUCAGCUCUUAUUUCUGUCUGGUUAAGUACUGGCAACCCAAAUUUGUUGCUCAAGAGAAAACACCUGAAUUUGAUCCAAAAUCCAGGGGCAAGGAAAUGGAAAAUUUUUAUGAUUGGACAAAAAACAACUUCAGACGAAUCAACUGGUUCU
This is a long non-coding RNA of Symsagittifera roscoffensis, 369 nucleotides long. RefSeq lists it as uncharacterized. The transcript has 3 exons. The record is from RefSeq and is a predicted model, not a curated record. Lineage: Eukaryota; Metazoa; Xenacoelomorpha; Acoela; Convolutidae.